GUAGGGAAUAUUGGACAAUGGGGGCAACCCUGAUCCAGCGACGCCGCGUGAGUGAUGAAGGCCUUCGGGUCGUAAAGCUCUGUUGCAGGGGAAGAACACAAUGACGGUACCCUGCUAGAAAGGAUCGGCUAACUUCGUGCCAGCAGCCGCGGUAAGACGAGGGAUCCUAGCGUUGUUCGGCAUUAUUGGGCGUAAAGCGGGUGCAGGUGGCUUGGUAAGUCAGAUGUGAAAGCCUGGGGCUUAACCCCAGAAGUGCUUUUGAUACUGCUGAGCUUGAGUGCUGGAGAGGCUAUUAGAAUUCCUGGUGUAGUGGUGAAAUACGUAGAUAUCAGGAGGAAUACCGGACGCGCAGGCGGAUAGAUGGCCAGACACUGACACUCAGACCCGAAAGCGUGGGGAUCAAACAGGAUUAGAAACCCUAGUAGUCC
This 428-nucleotide ribosomal RNA is filed under the name uncultured bacterium. RNAcentral describes it as "partial 16S ribosomal RNA". It matches the Rfam family "Bacterial small subunit ribosomal RNA", at positions 354 to 796 of the family's 1533-position model. The record is from RNAcentral.